Molecule: ribosomal RNA, 441 nt
Filed under: uncultured bacterium
Lineage: Bacteria
Description: partial 16S ribosomal RNA
Rfam family: Bacterial small subunit ribosomal RNA
Source: RNAcentral
CCUACGGGAGGCAGCAGUGGGGAAUAUUGCACAAUGGGGGAAACCCUGAUGCAGCGACGCCGCGUGGGUGACGAAGUAUUUCGGUAUGUAAAGCCCUAUCAGCAGGGAAGAAGAUGACAGUACCUGACUAAGAAGCCCCGGCUAACUACGUGCCAGCAGCCGCGGUAAUACGUAGGGGGCAAGCGUUAUCCGGAUUUACUGGGUGUAAAGGGAGCGUAGGUGGCAUGGCAAGCCAGAAGUGAAAACCCGGGGCUUAACCCCGCGGAUUGCUUUUGGAACUGUCAGGCUGGAGUGCAGGAGGGGCAGGCGGAAUUCCUGGUGUAGCGGUGAAAUGCGUAGAUAUCAGGAGGAACACCGGUGGCGAAGGCGGAUGACUGGACGGCAACUGACGGUGAGGCGCGAAAGCGUGGGGAGCAAACAGGAUUAGAUACCCGAGUAGUC